UUUUUUAUGGUGUAUCCAACACACCACAUUUUCAUUGUGGAGCAGAAGGGGUCCCUUCUAAAAAUA
Molecule: transfer RNA, 66 nt
Filed under: Cherax cartalacoolah
Lineage: Eukaryota; Metazoa; Arthropoda; Malacostraca; Decapoda; Parastacidae
Description: tRNA-Glu
Source: RNAcentral